AACGAACGCUGGCGGCAUGCCUAACACAUGCAAGUCGAACGAGACCUUCGGGUCUAGUGGCGCACGGGUGCGUAACGCGUGGGAACCUGCCCUUAGGUUCGGAAUAACUCCCCGAAAGGGGUGCUAAUACCGGAUAAUGUCUUCGGACCAAAGAUUUAUCGCCUUUGGAUGGGCACGCGUGGGAUUAGGUAGUUGGUAGGGUAAAAGACUACCAAGGCGACGAUCCAUAGCUGGUCUGAGAGGAUGAUCAGCCACACUGGGACUGAGACACGGCCCAGACUCCUACGGGAGGCAGCAGUGGGGAAUAUUGGACAAUGGGCGAAAGCCUGAUCCAGCAAUGCCGCGUGAGUGAUGAAGGCCUUAGGGUUGUAAAGCUCUUUUAACCGGGAUGAUAAUGACAGUACCGGGACAAUAAGCCCCGGCUAACUCCGUG
This 433-nucleotide ribosomal RNA is filed under the name uncultured bacterium. RNAcentral describes it as "partial 16S ribosomal RNA". It matches the Rfam family "Bacterial small subunit ribosomal RNA", at positions 29 to 507 of the family's 1533-position model. The record is from RNAcentral.